GGAGGAGAUGUAGAGGAGGAGAUAUAGGGGUGGAGGAGGAGAUGUAGAGCUAGAGGAGGAGAUAUAGAGGAGGAGAUAUAGAGGUGGAGAUAUAGAGGUAGAGGAGGAAAUGUAGAGGUAGAGGAGGAGAUAUAGUGGUGGAGAUAUAGAGGAGGAGAUAUAGAGGUGGAUUAGGAGAUGUAGAGGAGGAGAUAUAGAGGAGGAGAUGUAGAGGCAGAGAUAUAGAUGAGGAGAUAUAGAGGAGGAGAUGUAGAGGAGGAGAUGUAGACGUAGAGGAGGAGAUAUAGAGGUGGUGGAGGAGAUUUAGAGGAGGAGAUGUAGAGGUAGAGGAGGUGAUAUAGAGGUAGAGGAGGAGAUGUAGAGGUAGAGGAGGAUAUAUAGAAGUGGAGGAGGAGAUAUAGAGGAGGAGAUGUAGAGGUAGAGGAGGUGAUAUAGAGGUAGAGGAGGAGAUGUAGAGGUAGAGGAGGAUAUAUAGAGGUGGAGGAGGAGAUGUAGAGGUAGAGGAGGUGAUAUUGAGGAGGAGGAGGAGAUGCAGAGGUAGAGGAGGAGAUAGAGGAGAUGUAGAGGAGGAGAUAUAGAGGAAGAGAUAUAAAGGUAGAGGAGGAGAAAUAGAGGAGGAGAUGUAGAGGAGGAGAUGUAGAGGAGGAGAUAUUGAGGAGGAGAUAUAGAGGAGGAGAGGUAGAGGAGGAGAUAUAGAGGAGUAGAGGAGGAGAUAUAGAGGAGGAGAUAUAGAGGAGGAGAUAUAGAGGUAGAGGAGGAGAAAUAGAGGAGGAGAUAUAGAGGAGGAUAUGUAAAGGAGGAGAUGUAGAGGAGGAGAUGUAGAGGAGGAGAUGUAGAGGAGGAGAUGUAGAGGUAGAGGAGGAGAUAUAGAGGAGAUAUAGAGGAGGAGAUAUAGAGAAGGAGAUAUAGAGGAGGAGAUGUAGAGGAGGAGAUUUAGAGGUAGAGGAGGAGAUAUAGAGGUGGAGGAGGAGAUAUAGAGGAGGAGAUAUAGAGGAGGAGAUGUAGAGGAGGAGAUGUAGAGGAGGAGAUGUAGAGGAGGAGAUGUAGAGGAGGAGAUAUAGAGGAGGAGAUAUAGAGGAGGAGAUGUAGAGAAGGAGAUGUAGAGGAGGAGAUGUAGAGGUAGAGGAGGAGAUAUAGAGGAGAUAUAGAGGAGGAGAUAUAGAGAAGGAGAUAUAGAGGAGGAGAUAUAGAGGAGGAGAUGUAGAGGAGGAGAUUAAGAGGUAGAAGAGGAGAUGUAGAGGUAGAGGAGGAGAUGUAGAGGUAGAGGAGGAGAUGUAGAGGAGGAGAUGUAGAAGUAGAGGAAGAUAUAUAGAGGAGGAGAUGUAGAGGAGGAGAUGUAGAGGUAGAGGAGGAGAUAUAGAGGAGAGGUAGAGGUAGAAAAAAAAAUGUCAAAAUGAGAGGUAGAGGAG
Molecule: long non-coding RNA, 1409 nt
Filed under: Salmo salar (Atlantic salmon)
Lineage: Eukaryota; Metazoa; Chordata; Actinopteri; Salmoniformes; Salmonidae
Description: lncRNA (ENSSSAG00000102317.1)
Source: RNAcentral